UAAGGUGGUUGGUUGCGUCAUUUUGUUCCCAUAUGCCCUAAAUUGUAAACUUCACAUAUACGUCAAUUGCGUCAUAUGAUUUUAAUAUUGUGGUGUUAUCCAAUCAUCCCUGAGUUUUGUAUUUUUUUUUAUGGUUUUUGAAUAAAACCCAAUUCGUUUAUUAUUAAUUAGUGUUUGCUGAAUUGUGUUCGGUAUCCUGCAUAACUUGUUAAUCAGGUAGAAAUUACAAGAAUAAAACAGCAUGGAACUGUUAUCAAGGCAUAUAGUUGUUUGAAAUAUAAUAUUUAAUGCUUAAUAACCUACUGUACAUGAAUUCCAUAUGAAGGAAUUUGGUUGUGGUUAAUUGGAACUGCUUAUAUCUAUAAGUUCGUAUGGAGGCGUGGGGCUCCAUAACCACGCCCAUUUCAACAAGCUUUCAUCGAUGAUUUCGUGCAAUCGACCUGUCAAGAUGAUGCCUUUGUUUGAUGCCUUGGAGGUCGACCUUUUUGUUUCAAUAAACAUUCUACCAAAACUUUUUGGUAGCAAUUACGAAGCAAGCAUGUGAGGACAUAUGUUUUCCAGUAGUAUUUGUUUACUACGUUUUCCAUACUGAAGUAACUUUCUGUCUUCCAGGCAUUUGAAAUUGCUUUCAACAAACAGACAUGUCGGUUCCAUGUUCCAGAAUACUAAAAUAAUUGAAUAUAAUAUAAUUCUUUAUAAUAUAAAAUAUGAGUAUAUAAGGAAACUAUGAACAAGGCCAGAAGAAUACUUUACUCAAAAGUGGGGACAAUUCAUACUGUUUAUUAUAGAGGAGCUGGAUUAUAGAAGUAAUACCCCAGAACGGAUUUGAUUGAAAUGUAUACCAGGAAUUUAUACCUACAUCAAAUUAAGAAAAAAUACUAGUAUGUAGCUGAUUCUGUAUUUUCAAGUAAAUAGUAAAAUAAACCCUUAGAUGUAUGCCGACAAAGCAAUCCUCAAUCAUUCUGAGAUAUUUUAAACUUUUUUCUGUUAAUUUUAUUAAAAUGUUUACCCGUAUACAAUUUCUUUCAAAUAUGGUAAUAUAAAGAACUGCCUUUAUUUUAACCUAAUAAGUUCCUAAGAUAUAUCUUAGUUCCCUGUAAUAAUUUGAAGGUAAAUUUUAAAG
This is a long non-coding RNA of Anthonomus grandis grandis, 1123 nucleotides long. RefSeq lists it as uncharacterized. Lineage: Eukaryota; Metazoa; Arthropoda; Insecta; Coleoptera; Curculionidae. The record is from RefSeq and is a predicted model, not a curated record. The transcript is spliced from 6 exons.